Molecule: unclassified non-coding RNA, 207 nt
Filed under: Hevea brasiliensis (rubber tree)
Lineage: Eukaryota; Viridiplantae; Streptophyta; Magnoliopsida; Malpighiales; Euphorbiaceae
Source: RNAcentral
CUAAGUGCCAUAAACCCUAAUUUCCAAUUUAUCAAAAUUCAUCAAAUCAAAGUGUGCCAAUCACAUCUACACGCUCAAUUAGGCUUGCAUACACAUUUACUUGAACUAAAACAUAUCAACACUUCACAACCUCAUGGAUGGAAUAACAUGAAAAAUUGAGAAAAUUAUGUAUAAGAACAAAGGUGUAAAUUUCAGCCAGCCAUGAGG